CAAACUGAAGAUGGCGACCGGCGCACGGGUGAGUAACACGUAUCCAACCUGCCGAUAACUCUGGAAUAGCCUUUCGAAAGAAAGAUUAAUACCGGAUAGUAUACGAAUAUCGCAUGAUAUUUUUAUUAAAGAAUUUCGGUUAUCGAUGGGGAUGCGUUCCAUUAGUUUGUUGGCGGGGUAACGGCCCACCAAGACUACGAUGGAUAGGGGUUCUGAGAGGAAGGUCCCCCACAUUGGAACUGAGACACGGUCCAAACUCCUACGGGAGGCAGCAUGU
This 277-nucleotide ribosomal RNA is filed under the name uncultured bacterium. RNAcentral describes it as "partial 16S ribosomal RNA". It matches the Rfam family "Bacterial small subunit ribosomal RNA", at positions 77 to 353 of the family's 1533-position model. The record is from RNAcentral.